AUUGAACGCUGGCGGCAGGCCUAACACAUGCAAGUCGAGCGAGCGGCGGACGGGUGAGGAAUGUAUGGGGACUGCCCGAUAGAGGGGGAUAACUACAGGAAACGGGGGAUAAUACCCCAUACUGUCGGAUAACCCAUAUGGGAUUAGCUAGUAGGUAAGGUAACGGCUUACCUAGGCGACGAUCCCUAGCUGGUCUGAGAGGAUGAUCAGCCACACUGGGACUGAGACACGGCCCAGACUCCUACGGAGGCAGCAGUGGGGAAUAUUGCACAAUGGGCGCAAGCCUGAUGCAGCCAUGCCGCGUGUAUGAAGAAGGCCCUAGGGUUGUAAAGUACUUUCAGUCGGGAGGCGUUACCGACAGAAGAAGCACCGGCUAACUCCGUGCCAGCAGCCGCGGUAAUAC
RNAcentral lists this ribosomal RNA (403 nucleotides) under uncultured bacterium. Its description in RNAcentral is "partial 16S ribosomal RNA". It matches the Rfam family "Bacterial small subunit ribosomal RNA", at positions 30 to 526 of the family's 1533-position model. The record is from RNAcentral.